GUGACAGUCCAGGGAAGGCAUAUGAGUUUCCUCUCCAGGGAGGCCUGAAUUGGACAGGAGGAAAGAGAAGCUGCUCAUCAAAUAUCUGUGACAUGGGCUGAACAUCAAGCUUGUCUUUCCCUCAAGGCAGCCCAGCAAUGGUAGGAGCAGCAGCUUCUGCAGCAGCAAGAACAACGAGGUGGCUGCAGGCUCCCAGCACUCUUCCCGUGGUGGUGGUGGUAAGCACCCCAGCGGCCUGGGCAGCAUGGCUCUCAUGACCUCUAGCUCUGGCAGUGACAGCCACAGAAGCAGGUGAACUUCAGACUUCCAGACUGCAGCACCAGUGAGAAUGCUAGCUCCUGGCUUCCUGCAGGGCCAUAGCGGUGGUUCUAGUAGUGGCAAGAGCAGGGGCUCCAACCGACUUAGCAAUGCAAUGCACUCAGGCUCUGGAUAGCACCAUUUUUCCCUUUGACCCUCCAGCCUAUGGGUGGCAGUGGCUUCCUGCAAUUAGAAGUCUUCGGGUAACCUCACCAUCUGUGUUUUGCUCCUCUAGCUCUUUAACACUUUUGUAUUCAAUCUGUCAUAUUAAAUUCUCUCUCUGGUAUACUAGAAUGGUUUUCUGUUUUCCCUGAAAUGUAAGAAGUGCUGUAUGUCACUUUCAAAGCAAAGCCUUUAGAAGCAGGUGUGCCUUCUCCACAUUCUUUCCCUUUUCCCUGGCUGGAGAACCUAAGGGAUGGUAGAAUGGCAAGGUAGAAGGGAUAUAGGUCCCCAAAUCCUUCAAGGAGGAGAACCACCCAUCAACCUGACACCAGCUCUGGACUCUAUGUAAACAAAAACUU
Molecule: non-coding RNA, 818 nt
Organism: Microcebus murinus (gray mouse lemur)
Lineage: Eukaryota; Metazoa; Chordata; Mammalia; Primates; Cheirogaleidae
Source: RefSeq, a predicted model, not a curated record